AUGCGUCAGUAUGAGUAUGGAAGCCGUACUAGCCUGGGAAGUGUUACCCAAAUCAGUGGUGGUCGUGAAGCAGUGCAGGGCACUAUGAUGCGUAUGGAUAUAUCAAUGAAUUGGCAUUUUUUGCGAAAAGAAGAAUUUGAGAGGAGUCGAAUUUAUUCACAUGACAACAUGAUAUUUGGGGGCAAGGAAGUGCUUAUCGCACGGUUAUUAACCAGUAUGUUCUGCUGCAAUACAACAAAAUCAGAGGUGAUUCAGUCUUUGUUUUUGCUUGACCGACAUAUCAAUGGAAUUUCUUGGCAUGUCCUAGUCACAGGUUCACAACGGCAAUGGUUUUCAAGUGGUUCUUCUCAUAUAUUUAUUGAGGAAAAUGUUCCAGAGAUUUGCAAUCAGCCGACCUCGUGUGCAAGAGUGCUACGCUGCCAACGUAUACCAGUCUUAGAUGCCCCAAUUCAUGCUGAAUGUGUUCCAUCUUGUUUUUGUGCUGUACUCUGUUCAAAGGAUCCGGGGUUACAUACUGCUGCUAGAGGAUUCUUGCUCCUUCCAAAUGACAAUGGUAUACCUGGUGCGUGGUUAGUUCUGCUGUGCCAGAGUCACACAACUCUGUUAGCUGCUCAAUGUGUGGAUGAUGAAACCACAAGAAAGCGGUGCAAGGAGGUGCCAUGGGAACCCAGUGAUUUUUACAUGGCAUCAGUUGUUCUCACCAGGUUGCAGCCAGAAAAAUUUCAACAAGGGAGGGGUGUCGCAGUUCUGGCUACAUUCUUUAAGCAAGCCCCCAUUGGCCACCACUACUACCACGACUUCGGCCACAACGGUGCCGACAACGAUCGCAACUACAAGUAUCUCACUGAAGUCUACCAUGUCCUCGGCUACCACCGCGACGUCGAGCCAGUCAAAGACCAUCGAGUGCAAUGGGAUCCGGGCGGUUCUCGGUGGAGUCGGCUUGGGGUCAAGCCGAAUUUCAAAAAAGGGGGGAUGUUAGGGCCCUUCCCCAGCCCAUACGUGUAUGUGGGCUUGCCUAUGGACAUCACUUGGGCCUGGCCCGGCUGGGAAUCCUCAAGGGCUGCAGCUACUUAUACCUGGGAGGAAGCAACGAGCAGACCAUCCGCGUAG
RNAcentral lists this ribosomal RNA (1110 nucleotides) under Triticum aestivum (bread wheat). Its description in RNAcentral is "partial small subunit ribosomal RNA". Lineage: Eukaryota; Viridiplantae; Streptophyta; Magnoliopsida; Poales; Poaceae. The record is from RNAcentral.